UAGGGAAUAUUGCACAAUGGAGGAAACUCUGAUGCAGCGACGCCGCGUGAGUGACGAAGGCCUUCGGGUUGUAAAGCUCUGUUCUCAGGGAAAAAGAAAGUGAUGGUACCUGAGGAGAAAGGACCGGCUAACUUCGUGCCAGCAGCCGCGGUAAGACGAGGGGUCCAAGCGUUGUUCGGAAUCAUUGGGCGUAAAGCGGGUGUAGGUGGCUCUAUAAGUCAGAAGUGAAAGCCCCAGGCUUAACCUGGGAAGUGCUUUUGAUACUGCAGAGCUUGAAUGUGGGAGAGGAUCGUGGAAUUCCAGGUGUAGUGGUGAAAUACGUAGAUAUCUGGAGGAACACCGGUGGCGAAGGCGGCGAUCUGGCCCAACAUUGACACUGAGACCCGAAAGUGCGGGGAUCAAACAGG
This 407-nucleotide ribosomal RNA is filed under the name uncultured Bdellovibrio sp. Its description in RNAcentral is "bacterial SSU rRNA". It matches the Rfam family "Bacterial small subunit ribosomal RNA", at positions 355 to 776 of the family's 1533-position model. Lineage: Bacteria; Pseudomonadati; Bdellovibrionota; Bdellovibrionia; Bdellovibrionales; Pseudobdellovibrionaceae. The record is from RNAcentral.